AGAUGAGCCCGCGUACCAUUAGCUUGUUGGUAGGGUAAUGGCCUACCAAGGCUACGAUGGUUAGCUGGUCUGAGAGGAUGAUCAGCCACACUGGAACUGACACACGGUCCAGACUCCUACGGGAGGCAGCAGUGAGGAAUUUUGCGCAAUGGGGGAAACCCUGACGCAGCAACGCCGCGUGAGUGAUGAAGGCUUUCGGGUCGUAAAGCUCUGUCAAGUGGAAAGAAACUGCCAUAUGCAAAUACCAUGUGGCACUGACGGUACCACUGAAGGAAGCACCGGCUAACUCCGUGCCAGCAGCCGCGGUAAUACGGGGGGUGCUAGCGUUAUUCGGAAUCAUUGGGCGUAAAGGGCGCGUAGGCGGUCGUUUAAGUCAGAUGUGAAAGCCCUCGGCUUAACCGGGGAAGUGCAUUUGAUACUAGACGACUUGAGUAUGGGAGAGGGAAGCGGAAUUCCUGGUGUAGCGGUGAAAUGCGUAGAUAUCAGGAGGAACACCGGUGGCGAAGGCGGCUUCCUGGACCAAUACUGACGCUGAGGCGCGAAGGCGUGGGGAGCAAACAGGAUUAGAUACCCUGGUAGUCCACGCAGUAAACGGUGUACACUAGGUGUAGCGGGUAUUGACCCCUGCUGUGCCGAAGCUAACGCCAUUAA
Molecule: ribosomal RNA, 651 nt
Filed under: uncultured bacterium
Lineage: Bacteria
Description: bacterial SSU rRNA
Rfam family: Bacterial small subunit ribosomal RNA
Source: RNAcentral